GUCCCAGGAGCACCAUAGUUAGCGCGGUGGACUUCUAAUCCAAAUGUCGUGGAUUCGAAUCCCACCUGGGAUG
Molecule: non-coding RNA, 73 nt
Organism: Trichonephila clavipes
Lineage: Eukaryota; Metazoa; Arthropoda; Arachnida; Araneae; Nephilidae
Source: the annotation of a GenBank genome assembly